RNAcentral lists this ribosomal RNA (451 nucleotides) under Polyblastus sp. CNC 422446. Its description in RNAcentral is "partial 28S ribosomal RNA". The record is from RNAcentral. Lineage: Eukaryota; Metazoa; Arthropoda; Insecta; Hymenoptera; Ichneumonidae.
CCUGAGAAACCCAAAAGAUCGAAUGGGGAGAUUCAUCGUCAGCGAUCCUGGUACGUGUGCGGUUCGUGAUGCUGGAGAYUUCGGUCUCGUGGCACGCGUCCGCAUGGUUUUAUUGCCGGGUGUCGUCGGCGUGCACUUCUCCCCUAGUAGGACGUCGCGACCCGUUGGGUGUCGGUCUACGGCCCGGGUGGGCGCCUGUCAUGUGUCACGCUUUACGGCGUCAUGUGGCAGACCCCCGGUUGUCUGGCCGGCUGCUCGGCGGUACUCGCAAGGUAUCGGGCCGCAAAUAUUCGAACUGCGUCCUGUCCACCGCAAGCGAGGUCAGUGUUUCCCGGAUGUACGGACCUGGUGCCGUCACCGGGCCUGGCCAGCUGUUGGUCGGUGGUGCCCUGGGACUGGCUCUGCAUUAUGAUACCGGUCAGCGACGCUUCUGCUUUGGGUACUUUCAGGA